RNAcentral lists this ribosomal RNA (253 nucleotides) under uncultured bacterium. RNAcentral describes it as "partial 16S ribosomal RNA". It matches the Rfam family "Bacterial small subunit ribosomal RNA", at positions 524 to 776 of the family's 1533-position model. The record is from RNAcentral.
UACGGGGGGGGAAAGCGUUGUUCGGAAUUACUGGGCGUAAAGGGCUCGUAGGCGGCCAACUAGGUCAGACGUGAAAUCCCUCGGCUUAACCGGGGAACUGCAUCUGAUACUGGAUGGCUUGAGAUUGGGAGAGGGAUGCGGAAUUCCAGGUGUAGCGGUGAAAUGCGUAGAUAUCUGGAGGAACACCGGUGGCGAAGGCGGCAUCCUGGACCAACACUGACGCUGAGGAGCGAAAGCCAGGGGAGCAAACGGG